Molecule: long non-coding RNA, 779 nt
Filed under: Androctonus crassicauda
Lineage: Eukaryota; Metazoa; Arthropoda; Arachnida; Scorpiones; Buthidae
Source: RNAcentral
AUACCAACUUCCAUAAGAGCAUCCUUUUCAUUUUGAUGAUAUUAGGGAGUUAAUUAUUUGAGUAUUACUAAAUUUCAUCUUUUGAUUGAUUAUAUAAUGUUUGAGGCAAUAGAUUAGGAGUUAAUAGGAGUUACUAUAGCUUGCUACUGAUUCACUAUUCUCUGCUCAUUCAGAUGGCUUAAAUGGGAAACUUAAUAAUUUUCUGUGCAGCAUUUGUCUAAGAUGUAUUGUCAGUUUCAUUUUUAGUUAUUAAAUAGCACUUCACAUGAUGACUUUGCUUAAUUCUUCAGUUCAUUUCAUUCAACAGCAUAGUUGACUCAUUGUAGUGGUUUCUGACUGUAAUGUCAAUGAAACAUCUAAAGAUGGGAUACUCUGAGGUUUGAAGCAAUUUCUUACAAUAGCCAUUCUUGCAGCAAUGGUGCUUACAUCAUUGCCAUUCUUAAAUCCACAGUCCUGAAUGCAAUCCUUUUACUGCAUGAUGAUCAAUGCAGUAUUAAUAUAUUUUUAUGUUCUUUAUCAUUCAAAUAUCGUCCAUGAGGAUGUUGAUAUCUUUCUUAGUCCGACUCAGUCCUAUGAAGACCUGUCUAACUUACGAGAUCCUACCAAUGGUGAAGCUACUGUCAGCACAAUUCCCCAGGUUAUCAAAAAACUGAGUUUUUUGAUCAUUGUGAUUGAUCAGAAAAGAUACAAGCAGAUGAGUUAUUAUUAUUCUGUCAUUUUUUAGUAAUCGGCAUUGAUAAAAUUGAAACAAUUUUUAGAGAGAUCUCAAUAUUUUCAAG